Long non-coding RNA from Formica exsecta, 79 nucleotides. RefSeq lists it as uncharacterized. NCBI's taxonomy places the organism in Eukaryota, Metazoa, Arthropoda, Insecta, Hymenoptera, Formicidae. The transcript is spliced from 3 exons. The record is from RefSeq and is a predicted model, not a curated record.
CACAAAUACAACGGAAUUACUCAGAAAAACCUCCCCUACAACAUAUUUAAGUAGCGAUUAAAUCGAAGGUAAUAGAAUG